AUGAGGGGAGGGAGAACCCAUUACUUCAAAGCAAACAAAACAACACCCCGACAUGAUGGGUAGAAGCCAGAGUGCACAGGGGUUGCGGUCACUAGCCCCACUGUUAUGCUUAGCUAAUGAACAAGAGGGACAACAUUCCACUCCUUUGCAACUUGAAGAUUACAGGUGUAAAACAAGGAAAAUAAGGUAAUAAACAUUCUUGUGUUCCAAGAUGAUUAUAAUAUCAGUAGGUGAUAUAGCCAUGGAGCCACAAAUAGAAAUGUCCCCUCAGUUUUUGAUGGAAAGAGCAUAUUUAGUGUUUCGAUUAACAAGCAACAGUUAAAACUGUCAGCAUAAAUGGUAGGUUUUUCUUGUUACUCAUCAUCAUUCCUAAUGAGAAUUUGCAGCUGGUUUUUAUGAAUUGUAGCAUCUCAUUUGUUCCUCUUCUUCCACAGCUAUCUGUAGGUUAAAGGCCCCUAAUGCUCUCCUCUGCCACAGACCCCUUUAGAAUCAUCCCCAUAUCACAAGCCACUCGUGACUCUAGGAUGGUGAUGGAGCAAGUUCCUUGGCAGAUCUAGGGAAAGGAGCCUGGGAUGUGGAGUGUCCAUCAGGUUAGGGGGCUGGUUCCACUUUCCCAGGAGUGUUUCCAGCCCUAAAGUCUGAUUUUUCUACUCUUGGCUGUCAUCUGCACGGAGGACAUUAGUAACUAGUGAGGUUGUUUCAACUCCUGAGUCUGUGCCUAUUUCCUUUGCAGCAUUCACUAAUUGUCAUUCCAGUAUGGAUAUCAAAUUCUGAAGAAGAUCAAAAUAAAGCAGGAAAUCUUUCUUUAGAUUUUCUAUCUCACCUGCCCUUUGGUGGUUAAGGAAGAAACCCCAUUCUUCUCACUUUAAGGAGCCAUCUGAAACACUCCCCCUGCUUUGGAGUCACACAUCUGUCCACUCACUUGGCUUCCCCCACCCCCUCACUUCCUCUAAUGCUACUUCUGUGCAAUAACCAGUUUCUACAUUUUUUUUUCUUCAUCACAGGGUCUCACUAUAAGUUUCAGACUGCCCUAGGACUCUGGGUGGAUCCAGCUCAGGCUGCCCUACAACUCAGGUUUUAUGUAGCUCAGGUUGGCCUUAAACCAAAUUCUCUUCUUGCCAUAGCCUGCUAUUUGCUGGACUUACAGGCAUGAAUAUCCACACCCAGCAGCAUUACCCCUCCCCCUUUCUUACAUGCCACCAACUGUAGGCAACACAUAACUUCACAGCUUCAUCAUUUCCUCUUUGAUGAGUCAGCUCCAUCUCUUGAGUUAACUCCCAUUUCUAAAAGUAGUGUAACAGUGUCUUCAAAUACCUCUUAAAACUGCAGUCUUUGCCAAUGACCCUACACCACGGAUUCCCAUGAAACACCGGAGCACCUAUCUGUUUCAUUCCCUGACAGGCCACAAUGGAUUGGCAGCCUUAUUUCUUCUGAGAAGCACAAAAGCCACAUUGGCUCAAAACAGCUUUUGGUUUUCUGACCCCUAUGGUACCCACUGGGUUUGCUUCACUGGUCAGCAAUUGACAGUUAGACUCAUUUGGUAAGCAAGCAUAUACUUUUGUGCAUGGCUAACAAUCUGUAUCUGCCCGGGUGGUGGUGGUAGUGGUAGUGGUGGCACACACCUUUUAAUCAGCACAUUAAUCAGGAGGCAGAGGCAGGCAAAUAUAGAGUGAGUUUCAAGACAGCCAAGCCUACAGAGAAACCCUGUCUCAAACAACAAAACAAAAGUAUCUAUAAGUAUUGCUUUAUCUAACAGGAUGACAACUUCACUCUCCAAAACAAUGUCUAAAUUCUUUUGUUUUACAGAUUUUAUAAGACAUGUAUUUCAACUUUUAUAUAAAUAUUUAGACUAACCAGGACUCACAGAGAGGGAGGAAGAGAAAGAAAUUGACAUUUGAGGGCAGGAAAGCAGAAUCUGGGAAUAGAUGUUGGGGUAACUUGGGAUUCUAGUCAGACAUAUGAGAAGAAGGAACUCCUUAGUUAUGUUCUAGAAAACACUAGUUACCAAGUAUCUACUAGUGAAGUUUCCCUAUGCAAUUGGUGGAUAAUCUUCAUAAAUAAUAACUUCAGAGAUACUGAAAUUAUCCAUAUCUUUUUCAUGAGAAAAGUAGAUAUGGCAUAAUGCUAACAAAUUAAGAAUUUCAUCAGACUCUACUGUUGACUUUGGGAUGAAUUACCUGUUCAAACUAUAUAGGAUGCAUGCAGUAUGUAAAAUAUAUGCAGUAUUUUCACAUACAUUAAAUAACAUGAUACCAAUUGUAUGUAGUAUCAAGUUAUAUAAAAGAAGGUUUAUAUGUAUAUAUGGUUUAUUAUUCAUUGAAACAUGAAUUACUAACAUUGGACAUUUUUACAAGGAUAUGUCAUUUUAAAGAAACCCUUCACAUUUGUGUAAGAAAUUUAUGUUGUUUCAUAAAGGAAAAAUGUUUACUACUACAAUUCUACACUUGUGUAGAUCUGACUUGUCAUGGGAAAAAGUUACUGCAUUUUUUUAAAUAUGGAAGCUCGAGAAAUGGCAAGCAUUUUUGUUUUGUUUUUCCUACUUGACACAAGCUAGAUUGGUCUGAGAGGAGGAAAUCUGAAUUAAGAAAAUGCCUCCAUCAUACUGGCCUUGGAGUUCUCUUGACUGAUGAUGGAUGGAGGGGUGGGGGACAUCCUGCUCACUAGGGUGGGGCCACUGUGGGUUGAAGGCUCUGGGUGCUUUAAGAAACCAGGCUCAGCAGGCCACAGGAGCAAGCUAAGUAAGUAUAUCUGUUGUUACACCACAACAGCAGCUCGAAAAAAGGUACACCCCAAACAUCUAUUAUUAAAGAGUAAGGUCAUUCUCCAAUCUUAGCCAGUUUUUCAAACUUUUCCAUUUUAGUUGAAGCCAUUUAAGUUGGCCUAGUGAUUGACUUGAAGUUCAGCCAUGAACCUAGAAAACAGAACAAUUCUUAUCAAUCAAACUACAUGGGACACUGUUCUCAUAGUUUGUCUGUGCACCUUUGGUACCGGUUGACAACGGUUUAUGUUCAUUCUUUAAUUUUUUCUUUCAAUGUAUAGCAGAAGUGAGCACUCAGGUGGUUUUUUGUAGAACAAAAUUCUCUAUUCUUCCAGCUAUUCAACCGCCUGCAGGGUCAUUUCUGAUGAGGACUCUGUGUUGACCAUAGUUAACGAAAAAAACCUGGAAAAAGAACCUUUACCCCAUCUAUUGUUUUUAUUAUCCCAGGGAAAUGACUAAAAUACAAAGCUGUAAUGUGCAAUAAAGGGGCAUUGAUAGGCUUUUAUACUCUUGAAUAUGCUGUCUGCCUUCCUAACUAACCCCACAGUGAAGGGGAAGAAUUUGCAACAAGACAGAAUACAAAAUUCUAUACCUGCACCUGGUGGACAGAAGAAAGAAAACUGUUGCUGUGAUACAAUCCAAAUUUUCUUAGGAAAUGUUUGGGCUAUGAUAUGAAUAUUAAAUGUGUAUGUAUAUGUAGGAAGUGGUAUAUGUGGUAUGUAUGUGAGGGGUGUAUGUGUGUGUGUGUGUGUGUGUGUGUUUGUGUGUAUGUGAAGUGGUAUAUGUGGUAUGUAUGUGAGGGGUGUAUGUGUGUGUGUGUGUGUGUGUGUGUUUGUGUGUAUGUGUUUGUGUGUGUGUUUUUGUGUGUGUGUGUGUUUGUGU
This 3640-nucleotide long non-coding RNA is filed under the name Cricetulus griseus (Chinese hamster). Its description in RNAcentral is "lncRNA (ENSCGRG00015031744.1)". The record is from RNAcentral. Lineage: Eukaryota; Metazoa; Chordata; Mammalia; Rodentia; Cricetidae.